ACCCACCUCGCGGCCGCCACCUCCUGUGCGUGCAUCAUCUUCGCGCACCUGCCCAGAGGGCGGGGCCGGGGGGUCUCCUGCCCCAUUAAGACUCCCUGAAGUCCAGGUGCAGCCCUGAAGGCUAGAGCAAGGUCACUACCGAGGAACAAGAUGUCCUGUGAGACGUCCCGGGAUCUCUGUGAAAACUCUGGACCUCUGGGAAGUCAAUGGGGACUGCACUGAGGGCCUACUGUGUGCCAGGGCUUUAUGUAACCCAAGUUAUUCACUCCACAAACACUGAGGGCCUGCAGAGGUGGCUGUCCAAGAAGGGAAGGAAGCUGAGGGUGAAGGAGGGAGCCUGACCCUCAGACCAGUUUCCCUGGCAGCCAGCAGAGCAUUCUGCAGCAUGCUGCCAAGCAAGAAAGUGGUCUCAGCUGUGCACUAGCUUCAGCCUGCUCCUAGGGGAGCUCUGGAGUGGGAGCUGCACUACCACGAGGAAAACACACUCUUCUGAAUGGAGCCAGAAGACAUAGAGCCCUGGUGCCAGUGAUUACAAUUUGGUGGCCACAAAGGGAGAUCCUGUUGCUCACUGAGGAUUAGCCCCCUCCCCACCGAGGGAGCAGAGGAGAGAAAUACCUAAAGGGAGACAUCAUGGUCACAUUGCUGAUGGAUUCAUCUUCAUUUGAAGCUGGCCCUACCUCUCAGCUUUUUAAUUAUGUGAGUCAAUAAAUUCCUUUUCUUGGAUAAGCCACUUUAAGUGGCAUUUUUGCUUUCACUUUCAAAUAUAAGCAUGCUAGCUCAUGUACAACACGCUGCCAAAUUGUUUUUCAAAAGAGUUGUCAACAUUUGCAAUUAGGCAGAAAUUAUUUUGAACCUAUUAGAUGAGACAGUUGACAGUUGCUUCUGAGAAUUCAGUAAUUCAGUAUAUCAGGGGUCACAAUGACUCUAGGAUGUUGACUCAUUCAGUUUGGACCUUCAAUGAGCUAUGGAAUGGGAAGUGGAGCAAUGUCUGUCACCCUCACCCCCACUACCUAAAGGACCAAGUAAAUCUUACCAGAUGGUGCUGUGAAAUUUUUUUAUGUCUGAAAACUUUAAGAGUAAUUUUUGCUAGUUUUAAAAAUAUGAAACAACUCUUGUUCAUUACAGAAAAAUAAAAAUAAAUCUAUGUUUCAACUAUCUAUUUUUGUGUAACAAACCAUUCCAAAAUUUGGCAGCAGCUUAAAAUAACAAUUUUAUUAUGCUCCCACAUUCUGUGAGUCAAGAAUUUGGAAAGGGAACGAGGGGGGUGGGCAAUGGCAUGUAUUUGUUCCACCAGGGAACUUCAGCUAAGAUGACCAAAGGCUGGGGUUGACUUGAUUGCUGGGGGCAGGAUCAUCUGGAGAUGUCCUCACUCACAUGUCUGGCAGUCAUUCAGGACCUCAGCCUGGGCCAUUGGCUGGAAUACCUACAUAUGACCUGUCCAUGUGGCCUGGGCUUGCUCAUAGCAUGACUACCUUGGACUCCUUGCAAGGAAGCUCAAGACUCCAAGGCUUGUACAUCAAAAUAACUAGCUAAAGCCUCCUGGCCUUUGAUGUCCUAGCAUUCAAAGUCACAUAGCAUCACUUUUCCAGCACUCCAGUGGACAUUUAGUCACUAAGGUCACUGCAGAUUCAGUGGGAGAAGACGGAGACCCUAUUUUUUGCUGAAAGGAGCAUCAAAGAUCAACUUGCGGGCCUAUUUUUAAAUACCCCAGGAUUCCAGCAAAAAGAGGACAAUAAGCAACAAUGCAACCCUGCCCACCCAGAGAUCAUCACAAUCAACAUCUUCAUGUAAACUUUUCUGGAUACUGCUUUGUCGUUGAUUUUUAUAAAGCUGAAAUAGUUUUAGUGGAGACUCUUUUACUUGAAAGUGAGAGAAACCCAAUUCAAACUAAUGUAAGCAAUAAA
This is a long non-coding RNA of Homo sapiens (human), 1904 nucleotides long. Ensembl annotates it as PDYN antisense RNA 1. Its record names the gene PDYN-AS1. Lineage: Eukaryota; Metazoa; Chordata; Mammalia; Primates; Hominidae. The record is from Ensembl.